RNAcentral lists this ribosomal RNA (380 nucleotides) under uncultured cyanobacterium. RNAcentral's name for it is "bacterial SSU rRNA". It matches the Rfam family "Bacterial small subunit ribosomal RNA", at positions 376 to 770 of the family's 1533-position model. The record is from RNAcentral. Lineage: Bacteria; Bacillati; Cyanobacteriota.
CGAAAGCCUGACGGAGCAAGACCGCGUGGGGGAGGAAGGCUCUAGGGUUGUAAACCCCUUUUCUUUGGGAAGAACAAAAUGACGGUACCAAAGGAAUCAGCCUCGGCUAACUCCGUGCCAGCAGCCGCGGUAAUACGGAGGAGGCAAGCGUUAUCCGGAAUGAUUGGGCGUAAAGCGUCCGCAGGUGGCAAUGUAAGUCUGCUGUCAAAACCCAGGGCUCAACUCUGGUCAGGCAGUGGAAACUGACAGGCUAGAGUGCAGGAGGGGUAGAGGGAAUUCCCGGUGUAGCGGUGAAAUGCGUAGAUAUCGGGAAGAACACCGGUGGCGAAAGCGCUCUGCUGGGCCGCAACUGACACUGAGGGACGAAAGCUAGGGGAGCG